This 104-nucleotide small nucleolar RNA is filed under the name Microcebus murinus (gray mouse lemur). RNAcentral describes it as "Small nucleolar RNA U13 (ENSMICG00000046089.1)". It matches the Rfam family "Small nucleolar RNA U13". The record is from Rfam by way of RNAcentral. Lineage: Eukaryota; Metazoa; Chordata; Mammalia; Primates; Cheirogaleidae.
AUCCUUUUGUAGUUCAAAAGCGUGAUGAUUGGGUUUUCACGCGCAUGCGUGAGAUGUGCCUCCCUCAAACCUUGUUACGACAUCGGCACAUUACCCGUCUGACG